Molecule: long non-coding RNA, 406 nt
Organism: Humulus lupulus (European hop)
Lineage: Eukaryota; Viridiplantae; Streptophyta; Magnoliopsida; Rosales; Cannabaceae
Exons: 3
Source: RefSeq, a predicted model, not a curated record
GUGUUAGAGAGAGAGAGAGAGUGGCAUGACCUAGAGAGAGAAGGAGAAGAAGAAAGAAAGGAAGAAGAAGAAGAAGAAGGGAUCAAGCUAGGGCUCGUUGAGAAGUUGUCAUUUUACUUAGCUUGGACUUGAGGUAGCAAAUAUGUUUCUCUAUGGCACGUGUGGUGAUGUGGGGAGUUCUAUCAUCAUAGUGUGUAUGGCGUGGGGGCAUCCUAUGGACGAGAAACGAUCAAUUAAAAACGUCAUUUAUCUUUUAAUAAUGUUAUGUUUAAUGGGAUUUUUCAAACUUAUCAGUGGAACUUGAACUUUUGGUUGUUUUAGAACUUUGCAUGAAAACUGCUAUUUUCUUUUAAAACUAUUGGGCUCAACUUGUAUGUUUUCAGCAAGACCUCACUGGGAUUUUAUA